UUUUUGGUUGAGCAAGAGUUUAUUGAAUGGGUGUUGGAAUGGUUUUUGGUUGAGCAAUAGGUUGUUUAACGGGUGUGGGAAUGGUUUUUUCGGAGCUUCUGAGCAGUUUGUUCGGUUUUAAUACGAUUGUACAUAUUGGUUGUGUUCUGAGCGUUUUUUUUGGCAUUUCUUUUAGGAAUCCAUAUUGAUCGUAAGGAGGUUAUAAUUUUAUCUGAUUCUUCUAAUGCUUUGGUGUGAGCUGUCUUGUAUUUUCGCGCUGGUUCGGUGGGUAUUUUCGUGUGUGAAUAUGUCGCCUAUGUCUUUUGUUGUUUUCGUUGUACUUACACAGGAUUUGUUUUUGUAACCUGCAAUUUUUACUAUUGUGACUAAAUUGAGUAUGACCUUUAGUUGUGGAUAUGAAUUCUGAUUGCAGCAUACGGAACGGUAGCCAGAUGUUGUGUAAACUUUGUGUCGCUACUAUGGUUACUUUUGCCGUCCCCAUUCAAGUCGCUUUCUUGUACUAUUGUCCUUUGCCUCUUCUCUCCUGCAUCUUGUUUAAUGACGCGGACGCCUUCAGUUUCUCACCACUUUUUUCACUGCAAGCAUCCCUCUUCCGGGUAUGGGCUAUAAUGGUUUCAGUUAUGAUUUUUGAGCCUUGAAUGUGUUAAACCCGGAGGUUUUAUGUGCUGUGAACAGAGUUGUUUUUGUUUUAUUGUGCGAUUUCAGUUGUAUUUGGAGAAGAAUCGUACACCCGCCUGUUGAAUUUGCUGCUUGACUUGAACCGGAGUGAUUGUACUCACCCAACAUUUGUGGUAUGCGGGUGCUAAUCAGGUUGCUUAAGCUUUCUUUGUGCUGGUGUAUAUCUUUGCCUUACUGUUUUGCUUUUUUGGUGAUUUGCUUUCGGACGGAAACACGCGGAUCUUUAUCUGAUUUCAAGGUGCCUGUUUGAGUUUACCAUGUGCUUAUAGCGAAGUUUUUAACCUUUUAGGGUUAGGGUAGUUGAGGAAGACCAGGGCUGCAACCAUGGCGUAGGAGCCGCCUGUGAAUGGUUUCUUGAUUUACGGGGUUUUUCAUUUCCACAGCUACUGUUGGACUUGAUCGAAAUAUAUGGGUCUAAUGGGCUACGUUCCUCGAGGUUAUGUUUGUUCACUUACUGCCUUGUUUCAAUCUUCGCAUCGAUUUUUCGUACUGUUUUGGGGCUAGUGUUUAGGUAGUGCUUGGUUUUUCUCAAUACAUUCUUAGGUGUCAUUUUUCAUGAAAUCUAGCCAUCGGCAUGGCAUCCUUUAAAAGUUUAGUGUUAUGUUCCGGAUGACUGAUCGACAUGUCCGAGCCAUAAUUUCUCCGAAUUUGUUUAUCCUGUGUACAUCUCCGAUAGUAGAUGCUAGGAUUAUACUGCUAGUUCUCUGGAAUGUUAAAGCUCCGUCUUUAUUGUUGAUAUUCAUGUUACUUCGAGAAACUUAAUUGUGAAAUGUAUCUUGCAGGUGAGCCCAACUGAGAUCGCAAAUACGUUGCACAAUCAUGAGUGAAAUAGCUCUCUGCUGCAGAAUGAUCUAAAAGUGGGGGGAGCGAAGUAGAUGUUUCUGACGGGUGAUCAAGGGAUUACCAGUCGUGGAAAGAAUGUACUCAUCUCGUCAAUCAAGGGGAAACAAACAGCGCACUUUUUUCUGGCACUCCUGGAGAAUGCAACAUCGCUGUCGAGAAACUUGGAGGAUAUUGUUGUGAACAGGGAACAUAGGUUAGAGUGUACUCAGCAACGACCGUACGUUUUGAUUAUAACAAUUUCUAAUGAUUUCGGAACUUCAGUAACCCUAGCUUUAUCUGUUAUUGUUAUAUCUUUGAGGUUCCUAGUUAAGGUUAUUCGUAUGAUUGAGAUCGAAGAAGUAUCGCAGCCUAAUGAAUUGUAUCGGGUAUUGGCAAGGUUUACCUUUCACUUACUUUGUCCUUUGUAAUGGCAAGCAAAGCGUGGCCUGUUUAAAUGCUUUUUGAUCUGUUACCAAAUGUGAGGUGAACAAUACCAACACAUGUUUCAUGAACUUGAACAUU
Non-coding RNA from Physcomitrium patens, 2022 nucleotides. NCBI's taxonomy places the organism in Eukaryota, Viridiplantae, Streptophyta, Bryopsida, Funariales, Funariaceae. The record is from RefSeq and is a predicted model, not a curated record.